GAUGAACGCUGGCGGCGUGCCUAAUACAUGCAAGUCGAGCGAACAGAUGAGGAGCUUGCUCCUCUGACGUUAGCGGCGGACGGGUGAGUAACACGUGGAUAACCUACCUAUAAGACUGGGAUAACUUCGGGAAACCGGAGCUAAUACCGGAUAAUAUAUUGAACCGCAUGGUUCAAUAGUGAAAGACGGUUUUGCUGUCACUUAUAGAUGGAUCCGCGCCGCAUUAGCUAGUUGGUAAGGUAACGGCUUACCAAGGCAACGAUGCGUAGCCGACCUGAGAGCGUGAUCGGCCAAACUGGAACUGAGACACGGUCCACACUCCUACGGGAAGCAACAGUAGGGAAUCUUCCGCAAUGGGCGAAAGCCUGACGGAGCAACGCCGCGUGAGUGAUGAAGGUCUUCGGAUCGUAAAACUCUGUUAUUAGGGAAGAACAAAUGUGUAAGUAACUAUGCACGUCUUGACGGUACCUAAUCAGAAAGCCACGGCUAACUACGUG
RNAcentral lists this ribosomal RNA (497 nucleotides) under uncultured bacterium. RNAcentral's name for it is "partial 16S ribosomal RNA". It matches the Rfam family "Bacterial small subunit ribosomal RNA", at positions 28 to 507 of the family's 1533-position model. The record is from RNAcentral.